This is a long non-coding RNA of Oncorhynchus tshawytscha (Chinook salmon), 634 nucleotides long. The record is from Ensembl. Lineage: Eukaryota; Metazoa; Chordata; Actinopteri; Salmoniformes; Salmonidae.
AGGGGGUUAGGGUUAUGGGACAGGGGGUUAGGGUUAUGGGACAGGGGGUUAGGGUAAUGUGACAGGGAUUUAGGGUUAUGGGACAGGACAAGGGGGUUUAGGAUUGUGGGACAGGGAGAUAGGGUUAUGGGACAGUUGGUUAGGGUCAUGGGACACGUAUUUAGGGUUAUGGGACAGGGAGAUAGGGUUAUGUGACAGGGGUUUAGGGUUAUGGGACAUGAGGUUAGGUUUUAGGGUUAUGGGACAGUGUGUUAGGGUUAUGGGACAGGGGUUUAGGGUUUAGGGUUAUGGGACAGGGGGUUAGGGUUUAGGGUUAUGGGACAGGGGUUUAGGGUUAUGGGACAGGAUGUUAGGGUAAUGGCACAGGGAUUUAGGGUUAUGGGACAGGGGACAGGGGGUUUAGGAUUGUGGGACAGGGGGAUAGGGUUAUGGGACAGGGCUUUAGGGUUAUGGGACAGGAUGUUAGGGUAAUGGCACAGGGAUUUAGGGUUAUGGGACAGGGGACAGGGGUUUAGGAUUGUGGGACAGGGGGAUAGGGUUAUGGGACAGGUAGUUAGGGUCAUGGGACACGGGUUUAGGGUUAUGGGACAGGGGGUUAGGGUUAUGGGACAGGGGUUUAGGGUUAUGGGACAUG